Molecule: ribosomal RNA, 207 nt
Filed under: uncultured bacterium
Lineage: Bacteria
Description: partial 16S ribosomal RNA
Rfam family: Bacterial small subunit ribosomal RNA
Source: RNAcentral
CACGUAGGCGGCUUUGCAAGUUAGAGGUGAAAGCCCAGGGCUUAACCCUGGAAUUGCCUUUAAAACUGCAUCGCUAGAAUCGUGGAGAGGUAAGCGGAAUUCCGAGUGUAGAGGUGAAAUUCGUAGAUAUUCGGAAGAACACCAGUGGCGAAGGCGACUUACUGGACACGUAUUGACGCUGAGGUGCGAAAGCGUGGGGAGCAAACA